GUGGGGAAUUUUGGACAAUGGGGGCAACCCUGAUCCAGCCAUUCCGCGUGAGUGAAGAAGGCCUUCGGGUUGUAAAGCUCUUUCGGCAGGAACGAAACGGCGGGCUCUAACAUAGCCUGUCACUGACGGUACCUGAAGAAGAAGCACCGGCUAACUACGUGCCAGCAGCCGCGGUAAUACGUAGGGUGCGAGCGUUAAUCGGAAUUACUGGGCGUAAAGCGUGCGCAGGCGGCUUUAUAAGACAGAUGUGAAAUCCCCGGGCUUAACCUGGGAACUGCGUUUGUGACUGUAAAGCUAGAGUGUGGCAGAGGGGGGUGGAAUUCCACGUGUAGCAGUGAAAUGCGUAGAGAUGUGGAGGAACACCGAUGGCGAAGGCAGCCCCCUGGGUUGACACUGACGCUCAUGCACGAAAGCGUGGGGAGCAAACAGGAUUAGAAACCCUGGUAGUCC
Molecule: ribosomal RNA, 450 nt
Filed under: uncultured bacterium
Lineage: Bacteria
Description: bacterial SSU rRNA
Rfam family: Bacterial small subunit ribosomal RNA
Source: RNAcentral